GACGAACGCUGGCGGCGUGCUUAACACAUGCAAGUCGAACGGAAAGGCCCUGCUUUUGUGGUGUGCUCGAGUUGCGAACGGGUGAGUAACACGUGAGUAACCUGCCCUUUACUUUGGGAUAACUUCUGGAAACUGUGGCUAAUACCGCAUAGGAGCUCCUGCUGCAUGGUGUUGGUUGGAAAGUUUCGGCGGUUUGGGAUGGACUCGCGGCUUAUCUGCUUGUUGGUGGUGUAGUGGCUUCCAAAGGCUUUGACGGGUAGCCGGCCUGAGAGUGUGACAGGCCACAGAGGGACAGGGGUACGGGCCGGACUGCAACGGGGGGCAGCGGCGGAGAUCAGAGCAAAAAGGGCCGAGGGAGGGUGGAGGAUCGCCGCGUGGGGGAUGACUGUCGUCGGGGUGGAAACCGUGUGCGCCUGGGACGAAGCGUGAGUGACGGUAAUGUGUAAAGAAGCACCGGCUAACUACGUG
RNAcentral lists this ribosomal RNA (468 nucleotides) under uncultured bacterium. Its description in RNAcentral is "partial 16S ribosomal RNA". It matches the Rfam family "Bacterial small subunit ribosomal RNA", at positions 28 to 507 of the family's 1533-position model. The record is from RNAcentral.